UAGGAGCCUGUGGUGCCAUUAUCAUGA
This 27-nucleotide non-coding RNA is filed under the name Mus musculus (house mouse). Lineage: Eukaryota; Metazoa; Chordata; Mammalia; Rodentia; Muridae. The record is from RNAcentral.